RNAcentral lists this ribosomal RNA (834 nucleotides) under Triticum aestivum (bread wheat). RNAcentral describes it as "partial small subunit ribosomal RNA". The record is from RNAcentral. Lineage: Eukaryota; Viridiplantae; Streptophyta; Magnoliopsida; Poales; Poaceae.
AUGGACUUGGAUCAGCAAAGAUAUUAUUAUCUCACCAUGUUGUGGCGGAGAACUCUGUCUGUCAUUGUUCUUCUCUUGGCUCUUUGGUAUAGAAACAAAGAUGGUAGAAAAUUUAGAAGUGGAGGAAGAAAGUAUGGUCCACUAGUUGAGAGAGACAUCUACAGAACUAAUGUCCUGGUUAGGCUAAUUGACACAUCCGAUGCAAUAUGUAUCAAGCAACUGCGGAUGUCUCGAGCUGUGUUUUACAAGCUAUGCAUUAGGCUCAGGCAGAAAAAGUUGUUAAUUGAUACACUACAUGUUUCAGUAGAGGAACAAGUAGCAAUGUUCCUAUACAUGAUCGGUCAGCAUCACACAAAUUCAUCCAUUGGAUUUUGGUUCUGGAGAUCUAGUGAAACAGUGAGCAGAUAUUUCAAUAUUGUUCUUCGUGCAAUGGGGGAGUUAGCUUGUGAUCUCAUUUACAUUAGAUCAACGGACACACACACAAAAAUCACUAGCAGCCCGGACAGAUUCUACCUGUAUUUUGAGGGAUGCAUAGGGGCACUAGAUGGCACUCAUGUUAAGGCUUGUGUUCCUGCCCACAUGGUCGACAAGUUUAGGGGCCGCAAGUCAUACCCCUCCCAAAAUGUGCUAGCAGUUGUUGACUUCGACCUUCGAUUCACAUAUGUUCUAGCUGGUUGGGAGGGCUCUGCCCAUGAUUCUCUUGUGCUAAAAGAUGCCCUCACACAUCCAGGGGGAUUAAAAAUACCCGAAGGGAAAUAUUUCUUGGCUGAUGCUGUAUGCUGCGAGGCCAGGGAUAUUACCUCCUUAUCGUGGUGUGCGCUACCACCUAAAUGA